CCUACGGGAGGCAGCAGUGAGGAAUAUUGGUCAAUGGUCGCGAGCCUGAACCAGCCAAGUAGCGUGAAGGAUGAAUGCCCUACGGAUUGUACACUUCUUUUGUAAAGGAAUAAAGUGAGGCACGUGUGCCUGUUUGUAUGUACUUUAUGAAUAAGGAUCGGCUAACUCCGUGCCAGCAGCCGCGGUAAUACGGAGGAUCCGAGCGUUAUCCGGAUUUAUUGGGUUUAAAGGGAGAGUAGAUGGGUUGUUAAGUCAGUUGUGAAAGUUUGCGGCUCAACCGUAAAAUUGCAAUGGAUACUGGCAGCCUUGAGUACAGUUGAGGUAGGCGGAAUGCGUGGUGUAGCGGUGAAAUGCUUAGAUAGCACGAAGAACUCCGAUUGCGAAGGCAGCCUACUAAA
Molecule: ribosomal RNA, 398 nt
Filed under: uncultured bacterium
Lineage: Bacteria
Description: partial 16S ribosomal RNA
Rfam family: Bacterial small subunit ribosomal RNA
Source: RNAcentral